This is a small nucleolar RNA of Cynara cardunculus var. scolymus (artichoke), 106 nucleotides long. The record is from RefSeq and is a predicted model, not a curated record. NCBI's taxonomy places the organism in Eukaryota, Viridiplantae, Streptophyta, Magnoliopsida, Asterales, Asteraceae.
AUGCCAUGAUGAGGGCAUUUUUUAAUAGCUCCUUGUACCUUUCCCAAGCAUCAGGAAUUGCCUCAUCAUCCAUUUGUUUAAAAAGACAAAUUUCAUUUCUAGACUU